CCUACGGGAGGCAGCAGUGAGGAAUAUUGGUCAAUGGACGAGAGUCUGAACCAGCCAAGUAGCGUGAAGGAUGACUGCCCUAUGGGUUGUAAACUUCUUUUAUAUGGGAAUAAAAUGUUCCACGUGUGGGAUUUUGUAUGUACCAUAUAAAUAAGGAUCGGCUAACUCCGUGCCAGCAGCCGCGGUAAUACGGAGGAUCCGAGCGUUAUCCGGAUUUAUUGGGUUUAAAGGGAGCGUAGGUGGAUUGUUAAGUCAGUUGUGAAAGUUUGCGGCUCAACCGUAAAAUUGCAGUUGAAACUGGCAGUCUUGAGUACAGUAGAGGUGGGCGGAAUUCGUGGUGUAGCGGUGAAAUGCUUAGAUAACACGAAGAACUCCGAUUGCGAAGGCAGUUCACUGGACUGCAACUGACACUGAGGCUCGAAAGUGUGGGUAUCAAACAGGAUUAGAUACCCCAGUAGUC
RNAcentral lists this ribosomal RNA (460 nucleotides) under uncultured bacterium. Its description in RNAcentral is "partial 16S ribosomal RNA". It matches the Rfam family "Bacterial small subunit ribosomal RNA", at positions 338 to 795 of the family's 1533-position model. The record is from RNAcentral.